This 204-nucleotide long non-coding RNA is filed under the name Ananas comosus (pineapple). RNAcentral's name for it is "long non-coding RNA (ACOM_LNC036187)". The record is from RNAcentral. Lineage: Eukaryota; Viridiplantae; Streptophyta; Magnoliopsida; Poales; Bromeliaceae.
CCUAGUGGUGCAUUGAGCUAAGGUCAGUAAUUGCCCACUGGGAACUAUAAAUUAUAGUUCUCACGCCCUCUGUUUUAUGUUUUCUUUCAGAGCCUUCCACGCCGGGAGAGGCUAGGGACCGUGGGAAGGGCGUUGCUUCGAGCUAGCUCUUCAGCGAGUGACGAGUUGAUAGGUGGUCUACCUCUCGAUGUGUGUAUUUUGGAG